GACGAACGCUGGCGGCGUGCUUAACACAUGCAAGUCGAACGAAGAGCGAUGGAAGCUUGCUUCUAUCAAUCUUAGUGGCGAACGGGUGAGUAACGCGUAAUCAACCUGCCCUUCAGAGGGGGACAACAGUUGGAAACGACUGCUAAUACCGCAUACGAUCUAAUCUCGGCAUCGAGGAUAGAUGAAAGGUGGCCUCUACAUGUAAGCUAUCACUGAAGGAGGGGAUUGCGUCUGAUUAGCUAGUUGGAGGGGUAACGGCCCACCAAGGCGAUGAUCAGUAGCCGGUCUGAGAGGAUGAACGGCCACAUUGGGACUGAGACACGGCCCAGACUCCUACGGGAGGCAGCAGUGGGGAAUCUUCCGCAAUGGACGAAAGGCUGACGGAGCAACGCCGCGUGAGUGAUGACGGCCUUCGGGUUGUAAAGCUCGGUUAAUCGGGACGAAAGGCCUUCUUGCGAAUAGUGAGAAGGAUUGACGGUACCGGAAUAGAAAGCCACGGCUAACUACGUG
This 510-nucleotide ribosomal RNA is filed under the name uncultured bacterium. RNAcentral's name for it is "partial 16S ribosomal RNA". It matches the Rfam family "Bacterial small subunit ribosomal RNA", at positions 28 to 507 of the family's 1533-position model. The record is from RNAcentral.